Molecule: ribosomal RNA, 1056 nt
Filed under: fungal endophyte
Lineage: Eukaryota; Fungi
Description: eukaryotic LSU rRNA
Rfam family: Eukaryotic large subunit ribosomal RNA (bases 478-1056)
Source: RNAcentral
GCUCUACAACCCUUUGUGAACAUACCUAUAACUGUUGCUUCGGCGGGUAGGGUCUCCGUGACCCUCCCGGCCUCCCGCCCCCGGGCGGGUCGGCGCCCGCCGGAGGAUAACCAAACUCUGAUUUAACGACGUUUCUUCUGAGUGGUACAAGCAAAUAAUCAAAACUUUUAACAACGGAUCUCUUGGUUCUGGCAUCGAUGAAGAACGCAGCGAAAUGCGAUAAGUAAUGUGAAUUGCAGAAUUCAGUGAAUCAUCGAAUCUUUGAACGCACAUUGCGCCCGCCAGCAUUCUGGCGGGCAUGCCUGUUCGAGCGUCAUUUCAACCCUCAAGCUCUGCUUGGUGUUGGGGCCCUACAGCUGAUGUAGGCCCUCAAAGGUAGUGGCGGACCCUCCCGGAGCCUCCUUUGCGUAGUAACUUUACGUCUCGCACUGGGAUCCGGAGGGACUCUUGCCGUAAAACCCCCAAUUUUCCAAAGGUUGACCUCGGAUCAGGUAGGAAUACCCGCUGAACUUAAGCAUAUCAAUAAGCGGAGGAAAAGAAACCAACAGGGAUUGCCUCAGUAACGGCGAGUGAAGCGGCAACAGCUCAAAUUUGAAAUCUGGCCCUAGGCCCGAGUUGUAAUUUGCAGAGGAUGCUUUUGGUGCGGUGCCUUCCAAGUUCCCUAGAACGGGACGCCAGAGAGGGUGAGAGCCCCGUACAGUUGGACACCAAGCCUUUGUAAAGCUCCUUCGACGAGUCGAGUAGUUUGGGAAUGCUGCUCAAAAUGGGAGGUAUAUUUCUUCUAAAGCUAAAUACCGGCCAGAGACCGAUAGCGCACAAGUAGAGUGAUCGAAAGAUGAAAAGCACUUUGAAAAGAGGGUUAAACAGCACGUGAAAUUGUUAAAAGGGAAGCGCUUGUGACCAGACUUGCGUCCGGUGAAUCACCCAGCUCUCGCGGCUGGGGCACUUCGCCGGCUCAGGCCAGCAUCAGCUCGCUGUCGGGGACAAAAGCUUCAGGAACGUAGCUCUCUUCGGGGAGUGUUAUAGCCUGUUGCAUAAUACCCUUCGGCGGGCUGA